RNAcentral lists this long non-coding RNA (2728 nucleotides) under Panax ginseng (ginseng). Its description in RNAcentral is "long non-coding RNA (PGIN_LNC010932)". The record is from RNAcentral. Lineage: Eukaryota; Viridiplantae; Streptophyta; Magnoliopsida; Apiales; Araliaceae.
AUAAAUCAAACAACUUAUCUCAAUUUGCUUAGACCAAUUUUCUCUUCUCAAAUAAUCAGAAUUUUUGUAAGAAGAGAGAGAGAAAGCUUUUUAGAGAGAGAGUAUGUGAGAGAGAAAUAAGUUUUUCUUUGUAAAUGAAUUGGCAAAUUUGAAAUGAAAGAAAAACCUCAUAUUUAUCGAUUUUUAAAAGUCAAGGGCAAAAAAGGUAAUUUUUAAAAUCUGAUUUUAAAUAUACGGUUUGGAUGAAAAAAUAUGAAUUGAACGGUCCAGAUUUGGACAGAUUUUACGUGGAAGAAUUUGUAAAUCCGCCUAGGCCAUUUUUCAUCUACUGAGCAUUUAUUUCAAGUUUGACCAUAUGUAAAAAUGGUUCCAGCGCACACACGGUUUUGGCAAAAAAAAGAUGGCAGCUCAUGCAUGCAUUUAAACCAUUAUCUUAUAUAUGUAGUAUACUUUCCAUCACACAUAUGAGACAUGAGCUUUAAUGCACACGGUAAAAAAAAUUUGCCGGCUAACUUUUUCUUUGCAUGCAUGCUUUAUAUGACUAUAUAUAUAUAUAUAUAUUAUAUUUUAUAAUAUAGUUAGUGUAUAUAUAUAUAUAUAUAUAUAUAAUUUAGUACUUAUAAAUUAACAAUAAAUAAAAUAUAGUUAGUAUAUAUAUAUACUCGGUUUUAUAUAUAUAUAUAUAUAUAUACUUAUAUAAUUCUUAUAUAUUAUGUAACAGAAUAAUAAAAUAUAUAUAUUAUAUUAACGCUUGGCUAAGUAAAUGCCAACAAGUCUUACAUUAUGUAAUAAAAUAACAGAAUGAUACAUGACAUAUAUAUAUAAUAUUAAAUGUACACACACACGUUAACUAUAUAUAUUAUAUUAAGGGUAAUAUGUGAUUUUUUUUACAAAAUAAGUAAGUUGAUAUAAAAUAAUUUUUUUUGUCGGGGAAUAUCCGUACGACGGUACAAUCAUUAGUGGACCCCACAACGGAAUUAUUUUCGGAUUGAGAAAACGAUAAAAAUAUUUUUAUGAAAAUAACGGCGGAAGUUUUACUUUUAAAACUGUUGAACUACUCGAUAGUAAAAGUACAGUAAUACACGUGGUUGCAUAGUAGCACACGGUAUUGAUUAUUAAUGUUUACGUGAUAUGUAAGACCCCAAAUUAUUAUUAAUGAAAUUUAAUUUUCUCUAUUUAUUAUGUUGAAAUAGUAAGGGUUGAUUUGAUUAAUAUGAUUAGUUAUGGAUAAAAUGCGCAAAUAUUUCAAACAAGCAAGUGGUUUUAAAAUAUUCAUUUUUAUCGGAGAAUAUUCUUUUGGUCGUGGAAUAUUCUUACUGUCGGGGAAUAUUCGUACGACGGCGCAGCCUUGUGUGGGCCCCAUAAUGGAAAACGAUUGGAUGAAGAAAACGACAAGAAUAAGUUGUUUAUAAAUAAUGGCGUAGUUGUUACCAUUAAUACUGUUAGAAUACCUGGUAGUUAAAACACAGUAGGACACGGUAUUGCACCAAUUAUUGAUUCUUACGUAAGAAGACACUACUCGAUAAUUAUUACAGUAAUUACUGUUCAGUAUUUUAUUUUAUUGAUUCAAUAAUUGUUGCGUUGAUAUUUUAUAUUACUGUUGUUUCAAUAAUUGUCACUACACAGUAUUUUCUAUUAUCGGAGCAAUAAUUCAUAUUAUCUGAAUAAUAUUAGAUAACAUUAUUGGCAAUAUCUAGAAAGUUCUGUCUAAGAAGAGGUUUGGUCAUCUAAUUGCGCACCAGUAAGGAGAGAUCCUUAUUGGAAAGCCCCUCUUUCCUGGGAACUGUCUGAUUGUCAGUAUUGUGAUUCUGUAAUAUUAUUGUGAAUGAUUAAUUAUUGAUUUAUAUGAUGAGAAAAAUAUUUAUUUUAUGUGGAUAUAGAUGGAGAAAAUUUUAAAAUGAAAAUUGUUGAAAAAUUGAUAUUUUAUCUUUUUAGAUAAAAUAUAUUAUUAUAUUUUAAUAAUAUAAUAAUGGUGAUAUUUUUACAAUGAAUGUGAGAUAUAUGAGUAUAUGAGGAAGAAGAGUAUUUUUGUGGCAUUAAAUGAUUAACACAUGUUUUGUGUGCCGGUGGACCCCAAUUAUUGACUGAAAUUUGAUUAUAGCCUGUAAAAUUGCCCGUUUGUGAAUUUCGGUAAAUUUUUGUUUGGAAUUUGGAAAAAUUUUCUUCUACAAAGUUGUAGAGAAUGAAAUUUCCUAUGGAAAGGACAUGUGGUUCGAAUUUUUCUAACAAAAGGGCUAUUUAUUGUGAAUUAUUGAAGUUCCGAAGUUUCGAAAUAAUUGAUUUUUGGAAGUUUUAUUUUUUUUUUAAGAAAAAUGUUUUUUUAUUUUGUGGACAUCAUUAACAUGUGUAAACAUGCUGAAUUCAGUUGUCAAAGAGGAGGGCUUGAAUAAUUUUGAUAAAUAAAAUUAUUUUAUUAAAUUUUCUGCUUUGGUGUUCUAAUCAUUUUCCUAUAAAUAGGGUGCUUAGGUUAGAAUUAAAAAUAACACCAGAAACUGAAAUCUUCUAUCUCUUUCUCUCUCGAUAUAUUGAGCGUAUUCUUGUGAGUAUUUUGAUACUUUGAGUGUUGUUAUACGGUGCAAGUUCCCUUCAACACUAUAUUCAGUAUUUCAGCCAGAAGCACUAUUCUUUCGAGGUAAGGGAUAUUGUUUUUUUUAAAAUGAUAUUAUUUCUUCUAAUAUCAUUAUGCCAGAAUAUUGGUAAGAUUUUUCUUGUGAAAUUCUUGUCUUUU